GAGACCGUAGCUCAGAGGAAAGAGCAGUCACUUCGGUGACGGGUCCCGCGUUCGAAUCGCGGCGGUCUCG
This 70-nucleotide transfer RNA is filed under the name Candidatus Latescibacterota bacterium. Its description in RNAcentral is "tRNA-OTHER". The record is from RNAcentral. Lineage: Bacteria; Pseudomonadati; Candidatus Latescibacterota.